This is a long non-coding RNA of Sinocyclocheilus rhinocerous, 208 nucleotides long. RefSeq lists it as uncharacterized. The transcript is spliced from 3 exons. NCBI's taxonomy places the organism in Eukaryota, Metazoa, Chordata, Actinopteri, Cypriniformes, Cyprinidae. The record is from RefSeq and is a predicted model, not a curated record.
ACGCACGGCUUCAUCGCCCGAUACAGAGUUGAGUGGAGCUCUUCGUCGUGUCUUCAUCCUCUGUGUGGCACCGGAUUCAUCACAGACACCAGAAACCCAGAGUUCAGCAUCACGGGACUCCAGACUGGUGUGCAGUAUUACGUGCGGGUCAGUGCGUAUAACGUCAGAGGUUGGGGUUCGUUUGUGAGCAGCAGCCCCCCGUGUGUCG